AGAGAUGGUGAUUGUUUUGCACUGGAUCCCAUCAAAACUCCGCAGUUAAGCGUCUUAGGUGAGAGUAGUACUAGGAUGGGUGACCUUCUGGGAAGUCCUCGUGUUGCAUCUC
Molecule: ribosomal RNA, 112 nt
Filed under: Phaseolus vulgaris (common bean)
Lineage: Eukaryota; Viridiplantae; Streptophyta; Magnoliopsida; Fabales; Fabaceae
Source: RNAcentral